AUGCAUUGGGUGUCUUGGAAGGAUUUGGCUACACCCAAGUGUAAUGGGGGAAUGGGUUUCAGGGAUCUACAGCAGUUCAACCUGGCUAUGCUGGGUAAACAAGGUUGGUGUUUUUUGACCAAUCCAAACUCGCUUUGUGCAAGGGUACUCAAGGGUCGCUAUUUUCCAGAUUCAGAUUUUAUGCAGGCCGCAGCACCCAAGUCGGCCUCAGCUACAUGGAAGGCGAUCAUAGCGGGUCGAGAGGCUCUCCAGAUUGGUUUGAUUUCCCGGGUGGGGGAUGGCUCCACUAUAUCAGUCUGGACUGAUAAAUGGAUCCCGGGCACCAUCUCCAUGACUCCACAAGCACGGCCACUAAAUACACAAGUGGAAAAAGUAUCAGACUUAAUUGAUUCUGAGAGUUGGACGUGGCGGCAGGAUUUGAUUCGGGAAACUUUUGGUGCCUCAGAUGCAGCUACUAUACUUAAUAUUCCUAUUCGUCAGGGUGGAGGGCCUGAUUUUCCUUCAUGGGCGUUUGAUAGAUCGGGCAACUACACUGUCAAGACGGCGUACCGAGCUCUCGUGACUCACAAAGAGCGACUAGCUCUAGAGGAAGGGACGGCUACCGGGACUUCAGAGGAUGACAAACAGUUGUGGAAAGCCCUAUGA
Molecule: ribosomal RNA, 645 nt
Filed under: Triticum aestivum (bread wheat)
Lineage: Eukaryota; Viridiplantae; Streptophyta; Magnoliopsida; Poales; Poaceae
Description: partial small subunit ribosomal RNA
Source: RNAcentral